GAAUUUUGGACAAUGGGCGAACGCCUGAUCCAGCAAUGCCGCGUGCAGGAUGAAGGCCUUCGGGUUGUACACUGCUUUUGUACGGAAAGAACAGCUGUGGGCUAAUACCCUGGAGGCAUGACGGUCCCGUGAGAAUAAGCCCCGGCUCACAACCUGCCAGCGGCCGCGGUAAUACGUAGGGUGCAAGCGUUAAUCGGAAUUACUGGGCGUAAAGCGUGCGCAGGCGGUUGUGUAAGACAGAGGUGAAAUCCCCGGGCUCAACCUGGGAACUGCCUUUGUGACUGCAAGGCUAGAGUACGGCAGAGGGGGGUGGAAUUCCGCGUGUAGCAGUGAAAUGCGUAGAUAUGCGGAGGAACACCGAUGGCGAAGGCAACCCCCUGGGCCUGUACUGACGCUCAUGCACGAAAGCGUGGGGAGCAAAC
RNAcentral lists this ribosomal RNA (422 nucleotides) under uncultured bacterium. RNAcentral describes it as "partial 16S ribosomal RNA". It matches the Rfam family "Bacterial small subunit ribosomal RNA", at positions 359 to 773 of the family's 1533-position model. The record is from RNAcentral.